This 828-nucleotide ribosomal RNA is filed under the name uncultured methanotrophic proteobacterium. RNAcentral's name for it is "bacterial SSU rRNA". It matches the Rfam family "Bacterial small subunit ribosomal RNA", at positions 77 to 902 of the family's 1533-position model. The record is from RNAcentral. Lineage: Bacteria; Pseudomonadati; Pseudomonadota.
CCUUCGGGCGCUGACGAGUGGCGGACGGGUGAGUAACGCGUAGGAAUCUGCCUCAUAGUGGGGGACAACGUGGGGAAACUCACGCUAAUACCGCAUACGCCCUACGGGGGAAAGCGGGGGAUCGCAAGACCUCGCGCUAUGAGAUGAGCCUGCGUUAGAUUAGCUAGUUGGUAGGGUAAAGGCCUACCAAGGCGACGAUCUAUAGCUGGUCUGAGAGGACGAUCAGCCACACUGGGACUGAGACACGGCCCAGACUCCUACGGGAGGCAGCAGUGGGGAAUAUUGGACAAUGGGCGCAAGCCUGAUCCAGCAAUACCGCGUGUGUGAAGAAGGCCUUAGGGUUGUAAAGCACUUUCAAUAGGGAGGAAAACCUGCCGGUCAAUACCCGGCAGCUUGACAUUACCUAUACAAGAAGCACCGGCUAACUCCGUGCCAGCAGCCGCGGUAAUACGGAGGGUGCGAGCGUUAAUCGGAAUUACUGGGCGUAAAGCGUGCGUAGGCGGUUCGUUAAGUCAGAUGUGAAAGCCCCGGGCUUAACCUGGGAACUGCAUUUGAAACUGGCGGACUAGAGUUGAGUAGAGGGGAGUGGAAUUUCAGGUGUAGCGGUGAAAUGCGUAGAUAUCUGAAGGAACACCAGUGGCGAAGGCGACUCCCUGGACUAGAACUGACGCUGAGGUACGAAAGCGUGGGUAGCAAACAGGAUUAGAUACCCUGGUAGUCCACGCCGUNNNCGAUGUCGACUAGCCGUUGGUCCUAUUUACAGGAUUAGUGGCGCAGCUAACGCAUUAAGUCGACCGCCNNNNNAGUACGGCCGCAAGGUUAAAACUC